Molecule: ribosomal RNA, 408 nt
Filed under: uncultured bacterium
Lineage: Bacteria
Description: partial 16S ribosomal RNA
Rfam family: Bacterial small subunit ribosomal RNA
Source: RNAcentral
AGUGAACGCUGGCGGCGUGCCUAAUACAUGCAAGUCGAACGGAGUGGCGCACGGGUGAGUAAUGUAUAGCUAAUCUGCCCUACACUAGAGGACAACAGUUGGAAACGACUGCUAAUACUCUAUAGUGUAGGAUGAGGCUAUAUUGUAUCAGCUAGUUGGUGAGGUAAUGGCUCACCAAGGCUAUGACGCAUAACUGGUGUAAGGGGUUGAUCAGUCACAAGUGAACUGAGACACGGUGCAGACUCCUACGGGAGGAAGCAGUAGGGGAUAUUGCUCAGUGGGGGAAACCCUGAAGCAGCAACGGCGCGUGGAGGAUGACACUUAUCGGAGCGAAAACUCCUUUUGUUAGGGAAGCGGUACCUAAAGAAUAAGCACCGGCUAACUCCGUGCCAGCAGCCGCGGUAAUAG